Molecule: unclassified non-coding RNA, 311 nt
Organism: Erinaceus europaeus (western European hedgehog)
Lineage: Eukaryota; Metazoa; Chordata; Mammalia; Eulipotyphla; Erinaceidae
Gene: 7SK
Rfam family: 7SK RNA
About the family: 7SK was discovered as an abundant small nuclear RNA in the mid-70s but a possible function has only recently been suggested. Two independent studies have found that 7SK RNA binds the CDK9/cyclin T complex (known as elongation factor P-TEFb).
Source: Ensembl
GGAUGUGAGGGUGAUCUGGCUGUGACAUCUGUCACCCCGUUGAUUGCCAGAGUUGAUUUGGCUGAUCUGGCUGGCUAGGCAGGUGUCCCCUUCCUCCCUUACCACUCCAUGUGCGUCCCUCCCGAAGUUGCACACUCGGUGGAAGGGGACGGUCUCCCCGAAUAGAGACAGACUGGUCUUCGGUGGAGGGUAUAUGAGCAGCUGUGCUCCCCUGCUAGAACCUCCACACAAGCUCUCAGGAAGACACAGAGUUAGUCCAACAACAGCAACAACAAAAAUAACCCAUAAUUUUUUAAAGUGGACAAUAGAUG